GCCUUUAUCCAAUUAUUUGCAUUCUUAUUUGUUUCUAUUCAACCAAUGUUUCGCAUGUUUUAAUUGAUAAAAUGUUAUUGUUUUAAAUAAACAAAUUUUUCAUAAAUUGUUUUUUAACAAAGUGAACAUUCAUGAUGAUAAGAAGGAUACUUAGGAGGUCCUCAGUGCUCUCCCAAGGGUGGUAUGAUUUCCAACAGGGUAAGACAUUGGUUCAUGUCCCUGGCGUUUGAUUGCAUCCUUUGCCUCCAGACCCUUUUGUGGUUUUAUC
RNAcentral lists this long non-coding RNA (268 nucleotides) under Lathyrus oleraceus (garden pea). RNAcentral describes it as "Pisum sativum (pea) long non-coding RNA (PSAT_LNC006567)". Lineage: Eukaryota; Viridiplantae; Streptophyta; Magnoliopsida; Fabales; Fabaceae. The record is from RNAcentral.